RNAcentral lists this small RNA (738 nucleotides) under Pongo abelii (Sumatran orangutan). RNAcentral describes it as "processed transcript". Lineage: Eukaryota; Metazoa; Chordata; Mammalia; Primates; Hominidae. The record is from RNAcentral.
AGGGUGGGGGACGGAGGCAGGCAGGCGAGCAGGCAGGGAGGGGAAGAAGAGAAGGGAAGCUAUUAAACACACACACACUCACACACGCGCGCGCACACACCCGCCCCAACCCCCCAGAAGCCUCGGGAUUGCAGCUGUUUCAUGUGGGGCAGCAGUGCUGGCAGGGACGCCGGCCGGGAGCGGCUGGGAGCGGGAGCCGGGCGUGCGCGCGCGGCUGGAGGCUCGCUGGGGCUCCGCUCCCCGCGGGAGCUAUUGUUGGUCUCGCUGGAGCUGAGCGCAGAGCCCGGACCUGCUCCUUCCUGGGCGCCCCGCUCCGGCUCGCGGAGCAGAGGAGCCGCGCCGCCGAGAGAGAGAGGAGCCACCGGCGCGGCGCCUUGCCUCCCUGCCGCCCUCCUCCCCGCUUCCCCGGCGGUAGCAGCCUGCAGCCACGAUGGAAAAACUGAGAAUCAGAGAGGGCUAGUGAUCUCUCAGACACUUGGUCAGUAGGAUGCCUUUGAACUCUGGAUCUCUCCACCUGGUCUGAUUCUGUCCAGAGGCCUGGGAGGAUUGGCAUUAUUAAGAUGUUAUUGAAAAUGUUGGCACAUAUAAUCGGCUUGGAUCAGAAACCAAAGCUCUUAGCAGAGUAACAAGAAAAGAUCCCGCACCAUCCUCCAGGAUCCAAUGGCCUUGGAGAGAGGGCUGCAGGGCCCACGGACAUUGCUGACUCUUCAGAACGUGCUGACAUGGAGCCAGGUAGAC